RNAcentral lists this ribosomal RNA (468 nucleotides) under uncultured bacterium. Its description in RNAcentral is "partial 16S ribosomal RNA". It matches the Rfam family "Bacterial small subunit ribosomal RNA", at positions 28 to 507 of the family's 1533-position model. The record is from RNAcentral.
GACGAACGCUGGCGGCGUGCUUAACACAUGCAAGUCGAACGGAAAGGCCCUGCUUUUGUGGGGUGCUCGAGUGGCGAACGGGUGAGUAACACGUGAGUAACCUGCCCUUGACUUUGGGAUAACUUCAGGAAACUGGGGCUAAUACCGGAUAGGAGCUCCUGCUGCAUGGUGGGGGUUGGAAAGUUUCGGCGGUUGGGGAUGGACUCGCGGCUUAUCAGCUUGUUGGUGUGGUAGUGGCUUACCAAGGCUUUGACGGGUAGCCGGCCUGAGAGGGUGACCGGCCACAUUGGGACUGAGAUACGGCCCGGACUCCUACGGGAGGCAGCAGUGGGGAAUAUUGCACAAUGGGCGGAAGCCUGAUGCAGCAACGCCGCGUGCGGGAUGACGGCCUUCGGGUUGUAAACCGCUUUCGCCUGUGACGAAGCGUGAGUGACGGUAAUGGGUAAAGAAGCACCGGCUAACUACGUG